Molecule: ribosomal RNA, 497 nt
Filed under: uncultured bacterium
Lineage: Bacteria
Description: partial 16S ribosomal RNA
Rfam family: Bacterial small subunit ribosomal RNA
Source: RNAcentral
GAUGAACGCUGGCGGCGUGCCUAAUACAUGCAAGUCGAGCGAACGGACGAGAAGCUUGCUUCUCUGAUGUUAGCGGCGGACGGGUGAGUAACACGUGGAUAACCUACCUCUAAGACUGGGAUAACUUCGGAAAACCGGAGCUAAUACCAGCUGAUAUUUUGAACCGCAGGAAUCAGAAGUGAUAGAGGGUCUUGGUGAUACAAAUAGAUGGAGCCGGGUUGCAUUAGCUAGUUGGUAAGGUAACGGCUUACCAAGGCAACGAUGCAUAGCCGAUCUGAGAGGGUGAUCGGCCACACUGGAACUGAGACACGGUCCAGACUCCUACGGGAGGCAGCAGUAGGGAAUCUUCCGCAAUGGGCGAAAGCCUGACCGAGCAAUACCGCGUGAGUGAAGAAGGUCUUCGGAUCGUAAAACUCUGUUAUUAGGGAAGAAAAUAUGUGUAAGUAACUGUGCACAUCUUGACGGUACCUAAUCAAAAAGCCACGGCUAACUACGUG